RNAcentral lists this ribosomal RNA (484 nucleotides) under uncultured bacterium. RNAcentral's name for it is "partial 16S ribosomal RNA". It matches the Rfam family "Bacterial small subunit ribosomal RNA", at positions 30 to 507 of the family's 1533-position model. The record is from RNAcentral.
AUUGAACGCUGGCGGCAGGCCUAACACAUGCAAGUCGAGCGGAUGAAGGGAGCUUGCUCCUGGAUUCAGCGGAGGACGGGUGAGUAAUGCCUAGGAAUCUGCCUGGUAGUGGGGGAUAACGUCCGGAAACGGGCGCUAAUACCGCAUACGUCCUGAGGGAGAAAGUGGGGGAUCUUCGGACCUCACGCUAUCAGAUGAGCCUAGGUCGGAUUAGCUAGUUGGUGGGGUAAAGGCCUACCAAGGCGACGAUCCGUAACUGGUCUGAGAGGAUGAUCAGUCACACUGGAACUGAGACACGGUCCAGACUCCUACGGGAGGCAGCAGUGGGGAAUAUUGGACAAUGGGCGAAAGCCUGAUCCAGCCAUGCCGCGUGUGUGAAGAAGGUCUUCGGAUUGUAAAGCACUUUAAGUUGGGAGGAAGGGCAGUAAGUUAAUACCUUGCUGUUUUGACGGUACCAACAGAAUAAGCACCGGCUAACUUCGUG